UAGGUAUGAUAACCUAUGCGUUCCUUGC
Molecule: small RNA, 28 nt
Filed under: Bombyx mori (domestic silkworm)
Lineage: Eukaryota; Metazoa; Arthropoda; Insecta; Lepidoptera; Bombycidae
Description: ovarian small RNA-95
Source: RNAcentral